CCUACGGGAGGCUGCAGUGGGGAAUAUUGGUCAAUGGACGAGAGUCUGAACCAGCCAAGUAGCGUGAGGGAUGACUGGCCUCUGGGUUGUAAACUUCUUUUAUAUGGGAAUAAAACGUUCCACGUGUGGGAUUUUGUAUGUACCAUAUGAAUAAGGAUCGGCUAACUCCGUGCCAGCAGCCGCGGUAAUACGGAGGAUCCGAGCGUUAUCCGGAUUUAUUGGGUUUAAAGGGAGCGUAGGUGGAUUGUUAAGUCAGUUGUGAAAGUUUGCGGCUCAACCGUAAAAUUGCAGUUGAAACUGGCAGUCUUGAGUACAGUAGAGGUGGGCGGAAUUCGUGGUGUAGCGGUGAAAUGCUUAGAUAUCACGAAGAACUCCGAUUGCGAAGGCAGUUCACUGGACUGCAACUGACACUGAGGCUCGAAAGUGUGGGUAUCAAACAGGAUUAGAUACCCUUGUAGUC
RNAcentral lists this ribosomal RNA (460 nucleotides) under uncultured bacterium. RNAcentral describes it as "partial 16S ribosomal RNA". It matches the Rfam family "Bacterial small subunit ribosomal RNA", at positions 338 to 795 of the family's 1533-position model. The record is from RNAcentral.